UGGCCUCUAACAGACUCAGAGCAGUUAAUGUCUGCUGCUUAGGUUUCAACUACAGAAGCAAGAAAAAGAAGGUCCUUACACUUUCUUUCUGUCUGGUUGUGGCAGUCAAGAUUGAAUAGGGGAAUGCAGAA
RNAcentral lists this small nucleolar RNA (131 nucleotides) under Dasypus novemcinctus (nine-banded armadillo). RNAcentral describes it as "Small nucleolar RNA SNORA31 (ENSDNOG00000029776.1)". It matches the Rfam family "Small nucleolar RNA SNORA31". From Rfam's summary of the family: ACA31 (SNORA31) belongs to the H/ACA class of snoRNAs which are thought to guide the sites of modification of uridines to pseudouridines. ACA31 is predicted to guide the pseudouridylation of U3713 in 28S rRNA and U218 in 18S rRNA. Lineage: Eukaryota; Metazoa; Chordata; Mammalia; Cingulata; Dasypodidae. The record is from RNAcentral.